AUUGAACGCUGGCGGCAUGCCUUACACAUGCAAGUCGAACGGCAGCACGGGUGCUUGCACCUGGUGGCGAGUGGCGAACGGGUGAGUAAUACAUCGGAACGUGUCCUGUAGUGGGGGAUAGCCCGGCGAAAGCCGGAUUAAUACCGCAUACGAUCUACGGAUGAAAGCGGGGGACCUUCGGGCCUCGCGCUAUAGGGUUGGCCGAUGGCUGAUUAGCUAGUUGGUGGGGUAAAGGCCUACCAAGGCGACGAUCAGUAGCUGGUCUGAGAGGACGACCAGCCACACUGGGACUGAGACACGGCCCAGACUCCUACGGGAGGCAGCAGUGGGGAAUUUUGGACAAUGGGCGAAAGCCUGAUCCAGCAAUGCCGCGUGUGUGAAGAAGGCCUUCGGGUUGUAAAGCACUUUUGUCCGGAAAGAAAUCCUUGGCCCUAAUACGGUCGGGGGAUGACGGUACCGGAAGAAUAAGCACCGGCUAACUACGUG
Molecule: ribosomal RNA, 486 nt
Filed under: uncultured bacterium
Lineage: Bacteria
Description: partial 16S ribosomal RNA
Rfam family: Bacterial small subunit ribosomal RNA
Source: RNAcentral